UAACAGUUUACUCCAUUUCUGUGACAUUUAUCUAGAUGAAUUUAAGCGUGCUGUCUAUGUAGCUACUGGCCUCAAACUUUCACCACAUUUAGUGAACACAGUCUUCAAGAUUUUUGAUGUUGACAAAGAUGAUCAAUUAAGUUAUAAAGAAUUUAUUGGAAUUAUGAAAGACAGACUGCAUAGAGGAUUCCGGGGUUAUAAAACAGUUCAGAAGUAUCCCACUUUCAAAUCCUGUCUGAAGAAGGAACUUCAUAGCAGAUAAGUACUUCUGUAACAAAGUUUAAAGGAUUAUUAUCUACAUAACAAAUGGAAGAAGCAAAAUUUCAGAGAGCAGAAGUAGGUCUGAGAUCAGAACAUGGAGAAAUGAAGGAAAAGGUGAAAUGCUAAUUAUAACUUUUUCUUGAACGUAAGACAGAUAAAAUGUACCUUCUUAUUAAAACUACAAAUGUUAUGUGUUAUCAAUUUGAGCUUUUACCUUGAUUUACUGAACUCUGCACUUUUUCAUUCCUUUGAGAAGUAUAUAGAUACUUCCAAUGACUAUGUAAGAAUGUAUUUUAAGUAUUUUUUUAAACUUAAUAGAAAUCCUAAUAGAAAUCUGCUUCAUUUCAAAAUAAUAUGACUCCUGGAAUCUAAAUCACUUAAAAAUGAGCAACAUAUUUUCCUUGGUUUUAGACUGUGAACUUAUUUCUAGAAAAUGAAUAUUCCUUAAGACUUAGCCUAGAGCCCUUAGAAUUAUUAAUAAAUCCCAAUUAUUUAUGUUUUUUAAUUACACUGAAAUAAUUUUGAAAAACAAAUAGAAAUUAAGCUACUAUAUAAUAUGAUGGUUUACAUUGUACUUUAAACUUUUAAAAGUACUUAAUUAACAUAUAUUGUUUGAAUCAUGAAGUUUUUUAAGUUUUUGUUCAUUUACCAAAGUCAACAGAAUGUAUUCUUUUCUGUAUACAGUAAAGAAAUUUAAAAUGUAGGUUCUUUUUCUAAAAAAGAGUCAUAUAUUGAUGGGGGAAGCACUGGUAGUUGUAGCGAUAGUCAUUGUCAUUGUUAUUGUCUUAACAUGAUGCUGCUCCUGAUUGCAGAUGGUGCAUGUUGAUAACACUAGUAAAAAUAAUAUCUGACAACUCUGCACUUAUUGUUUGAUGUUAGUAUAUGUCUAUAGCAUCAAAAUGAGUACUAUAAAAGACGAAUAUAAAAUCGUUUGGAAGACUGAUGUAUAUAUUAGGUAGAAAUUAACAUUUUGUUUCUUACAAAAGGACCACAUGCAGAAGCGACACCCAGCAGCCAGUAGUAACAAAUAGUAUGUUGAGAAAAUUAAAAUAGUAUGUCUUAAAAGAGAAAAGAAAAACUUAUAUUGAAAAACAAAAUGAGAUUUUCACAUGAAGAAAAUGAUUUGAUAGUACUUAUUGGAAAUGUGUUCAAAUAAAAAAUAUAAAGGGAUACAUAUGCAAAAAUAGAGCAUUUAUUUAUACAUUAUAUGUGGAAGAUAAGUUCAUUUAUCUUCUUUUCUAAGAUGUAUUUAUUGUAAAUUGCACACACUUUAGCUAUUACCUUGCUUUUGUGUAUGAAAAUAGGAAAUACUUUGUUUUUUUAAGUUAUUAAAUGUGAAAUUGAAAAUUCUGCAUCAGCAUAUUUAUGGAAGUAAUGUUACUUCCAAGAAAAUAUUAUUAUUGGCAUUGACUAUGUAUUUGUUAGACUUUUUACAUUCUUUAUCUGAUAUAAUUUAUUAUGUUGAUAAAUAUAUGAUUCAUAAGUUUGAGGAUUCCACAUAGUAUAAUAAUUUAAUUUCACCUGCUUUGAAGGUUGACUCAAUUGACUGACUAAAUUAAAAUGCCUCCCACUCAUUUAACAUGCCCCAGGUCUGUUUUACUUUAUACUGAGUGUUCUCAAUAUUCAUUAUUUGCUAUUUAAAAUAAUUGUAAAAAUGCCAUUUGCUUUUAUCUUCACUAUAACUUACAUGAUCUUGCAUACGUGGAAAAAUUCCUAUUUAGAACAGUUCUAUAAAUAUAGAUUCAAAACUGAAUUAGCUUGUUAAAAUUCUUUAUAAAUCUGCCAUUCUCCCAAGGAAUACUACAUAUACAACCUUUAUUCUUUAUUGCUUAUCAGUGUGAGUGGAUAUUCAUUUAUUCAUAAGGCUAUAGCAUAUUAAAUAUUGAAAUGGGAAUAAGUGAAAUAUUCUGUAUGAUCAAUUAAAAUGGAAGAGAUUAGUAAAUUAAACAAUUCUCUAUUAUCACUCCUGAAAUUUAUCAUCUGUCAAAUGGGAGAUAAGUAUAUCUCACUGGAUUGUUGUUAAAAUAUUGUUAGAAUAUUAAAAAGAUUUAUUGCUUUCAGAAUAAUAAUAUUCUAAAUACAUGUAUGCUAUUCUUAGCAUUUCCUUCUGUAAUUUAAUAUCAAGACUCUUUGCAGGAAGUCUACAUGGUAAAAGAUUUAUGGUACUUUUCAGAGUAAUUUCAUAUUAAGAAAUUUAACUUAAGUUACAGUCUGUUGUUCUUAUUGUAAAAUAUAAUUGUAAAGCAAUCUGUUUACAUUCUUAUAUUAUCUUAAAAUAAAUAUGCCUGCUCUUGAAUCAAAACACUUAGUAUAUUGCAUUUAUAUAUAUCUGUGGGCUAAUGUCUUUCUGAAAAAUGUCACAUUCAAACUUCAGAAAUCUUUGUUGGUUAUCAAACACCCACUGACCUCAUACCCUGUGUUAUGGCAGUACAUGCCAAUAAAAAAUCUCCUCAAUACUUUUGUAGGUGAAUAAAUCACAGAGCCAUAAAGCCUCUCAAAGUGUGUAAUAGGAAUUCAUACAAUACAGUAUUUUGGUCAUUGGUACUGGAAAGCUUUUCAGAAAGCUUACAUGUGACUUAACAGAGAACUGAUUGUUUAAAUGGCUUAAAAUAAUUAAACCAAUACUAUAGUAGACCCUGUUUUACUAAUAUUGGUAUUUUGCAGGCUUCGUCUUACGAAGAAAAUGCCUAGAAAUUUACUAGUUUUCAAGACACAUUAUCCUAAUUUUUAUAGCUAUACAAUACAUUAACAUUUUUACAUAGAGUUUUUACUUUUAGAGGAUGUAAAACUAU
This is a non-coding RNA of Manis javanica (Malayan pangolin), 3053 nucleotides long. The record is from RefSeq and is a predicted model, not a curated record. Lineage: Eukaryota; Metazoa; Chordata; Mammalia; Pholidota; Manidae.